This 116-nucleotide transfer RNA is filed under the name Chaetomium globosum CBS 148.51. It matches the Rfam family "tRNA". Rfam says of the family: Transfer RNA (tRNA) molecules are approximately 80 nucleotides in length. RNAcentral also lists the same sequence under 2 other names. The record is from Rfam by way of RNAcentral. Lineage: Eukaryota; Fungi; Ascomycota; Sordariomycetes; Sordariales; Chaetomiaceae.
GGCAAGGUGGCCGAGCGGUCUAAGGCGCCACGUUAAGGUCCACCCUUAAUCUCCCUUCUCAUCCGAGAAAAUCCGUGGUCUCGAAAGGGGCGUGAGUUCGAAUCUCACCCUUGUCA